RNAcentral lists this long non-coding RNA (224 nucleotides) under Lathyrus oleraceus (garden pea). Its description in RNAcentral is "Pisum sativum (pea) long non-coding RNA (PSAT_LNC033566)". The record is from RNAcentral. Lineage: Eukaryota; Viridiplantae; Streptophyta; Magnoliopsida; Fabales; Fabaceae.
GGGUGUCGAUGGGGUAAAUACAAACAAAAAGGGAAAACAAGUGGUUUGGGUUCAUAGCCAAUGUCAUUAUUCUUUUCACUGUGUUUAUUCUACAUAUCUUUUCCAAUUCUUUUCUUUUUCAGUUCUUUUACUCAGUGCUUUUUCUUUUCUUUUCUUUUUAUACCCAACUAAGUGUUUCUUAUUCAGUGAGUGCCUUUUUUUAUUCCAUCAAAUUUCCCAUUUUU